GUGAGUCAUCGAGUCUUUGAACGCACCUUGCGCUCCUUGGUAUUCCGAGGAGCAUGCCUGUUUGAGUAUCAUGAAAUUCUCAACCCUUAAAUUUUGUAACGAAGUUUAAUGGGCUUGGACUUGGAGGUCUGUGUCGGCUCUUUGUUGAGUCGACUCCUCUUAAAUGCAUUAGCGUGAAUCUUUACGGAUCACUUCAGCGAUGAUAAUUAUCCGCGCUGUGGUGUUGAAGUAUUUUUGAUAGUUCAUGCUUACAAUCGUCUCUCACGAGACAAUUCUUAACAAUCUGAUCUCAAAUCAGGUAGGACUACCCGCUGAACUUAA
RNAcentral lists this ribosomal RNA (321 nucleotides) under uncultured fungus. RNAcentral's name for it is "eukaryotic LSU rRNA". The stretch from base 1 to 71 matches the Rfam family "5.8S ribosomal RNA", at positions 84 to 154 of the family's 154-position model. The record is from RNAcentral. Lineage: Eukaryota; Fungi.